This 179-nucleotide microRNA precursor is filed under the name Puccinia graminis f. sp. tritici CRL 75-36-700-3. RNAcentral's name for it is "microRNA MIR807". The record is from RNAcentral. Lineage: Eukaryota; Fungi; Basidiomycota; Pucciniomycetes; Pucciniales; Pucciniaceae.
GAGACCAAUGACCUGAAGGAGUUCUUCCGGCCGAUGAGGGUUCAACACCUCAUCGAUCGGAAGGAUUUCCUUCCGGUCAAUGAGGUUGUUACACCUCAUCGACCGGAAGGAAUCCCUUCUAAUCGAUGAGGUUGUUACACCUCAUCAACCGGAAGGAAUCCCUUCCGGUCAAUGGUAUU